This 465-nucleotide ribosomal RNA is filed under the name Vreelandella stevensii. Its description in RNAcentral is "partial 16S ribosomal RNA". It matches the Rfam family "Bacterial small subunit ribosomal RNA", at positions 338 to 795 of the family's 1533-position model. The record is from RNAcentral. Lineage: Bacteria; Pseudomonadati; Pseudomonadota; Gammaproteobacteria; Oceanospirillales; Halomonadaceae.
CCUACGGGUGGCAGCAGUGGGGAAUAUUGGACAAUGGGCGAAAGCCUGAUCCAGCCAUGCCGCGUGUGUGAAGAAGGCCUUCGGGUUGUAAAGCACUUUCAGUGGGGAAGAAAGCCUUGGGGCUAAUACCCUCGAGGAAGGACAUCACCCACAGAAGAAGCACCGGCUAACUCCGUGCCAGCAGCCGCGGUAAUACGGAGGGUGCGAGCGUUAAUCGGAAUUACUGGGCGUAAAGCGCGCGUAGGCGGUCUGAUAAGCCGGUUGUGAAAGCCCCGGGCUCAACCUGGGAACGGCAUCCGGAACUGUCAGGCUAGAGUGCAGGAGAGGAAGGUAGAAUUCCCGGUGUAGCGGUGAAAUGCGUAGAGAUCGGGAGGAAUACCAGUGGCGAAGGCGGCCUUCUGGACUGACACUGACGCUGAGGUGCGAAAGCGUGGGUAGCAAACAGGAUUACAUACCCUAGUAGUC